CGGACGGGUGAGUAACGCGUGAGAAUCUAUCUUCAGGACGGGGACAACAGCUGGUAAACGACUGCUAAUACCCGAUGUGCCGCGAGGUGAAACCUAAUUGGCCUGAAGAAGAGCUUGCGUCUGAUUAGCUAGUUGGUGGGGUAAGAGCCUACCAAGGCGACGAUCAGUAGCUGGUCUGAGAGGAUGAGCAGCCUCACUGGGACUGAGACACGGCCCAGACUCCUACGGGAGGCAGCAGUGGGGAAUUUUCCGCAAUGGGCGAAAGCCUGACGGAGCAACGCCGCGUGAGGGAGGAAGGUCUUUGGAUUGUAAACCUCUUUUCUCAAGGAAGAAGUUCUGACGGUACUUGAGGAAUCAGCCUCGGCUAAUUCCGUGCCAGCAGCCGCGGUAAUACGGGGGAGGCAAGCGUUAUCCGGAAUUAUUGGGCGUAAAGCGUCCGCAGGUGGUCAGCCAAGUCUGCUGUCAAAUCAGGUUGCUUAACGACCUAAAGGCGGUGGAAACUGGCAGACUAGAGAGCAGUAGGGGUAGCAGGAAUUCCCAGUGUAGCGGUGAAAUGCGUAGAGAUUGGGAAGAACAUCGGUGGCGAAAGCGUGCUACUGGGCUGUAUCUGACACUCAGGGACGAAAGCUAGGGGAGCGAAAGGGAUUAGAUACCCCUGUAGUC
RNAcentral lists this ribosomal RNA (663 nucleotides) under uncultured cyanobacterium. RNAcentral describes it as "bacterial SSU rRNA". It matches the Rfam family "Bacterial small subunit ribosomal RNA", at positions 99 to 795 of the family's 1533-position model. The record is from RNAcentral. Lineage: Bacteria; Bacillati; Cyanobacteriota.